ACGAUGAGCACUAGGUGUUGGAGGGAAAACCUUCAGUGCCGCAGUUAACGCAAUAAGUGCUCCGCCUGGGGAGUACGCACGCAAGUGUAAAACUCAAAGGAAUUGACGGGGACCCGCACAAGCAGCGGAGCAUGUGGUUUAAUUCGAAGCAACGCGAAGAACCUUACCAGGACUUGACAUCCUCCCGACGUACAUUUAACAGUGUAUUUCUUUUAGACGGGAGAGACAGGUGGUGCAUGGCUGUCGUCAG
Molecule: ribosomal RNA, 250 nt
Filed under: uncultured bacterium
Lineage: Bacteria
Description: partial 16S ribosomal RNA
Rfam family: Bacterial small subunit ribosomal RNA
Source: RNAcentral